GAUGAAGAACGCAGCGAAAUGCGAUAAGUAGUGUGAAUUGCAGAAUUCAGUGAAUCAUCGAAUCUUUGAACGCACCUUGCACCCUUUGGCAUUCCGAAGGGUAUGCUCGUUUGAGUGUCAUUGUACUCUCACACUCCCAAUUGCUUUGGAUUGGGAGCGGUGGACUUGGGUGUUGCUGCUUGACUGAGGCUCACCUGAAAUAUGUUAGUGCACCUCUUGAUUGGACAUAGUACGGCGUGAUAAGUGUCUUCGCCGGCUCCUCGCAAAGAGGGUGGCCGAUCGGGAGCUCUGUUGCUUCAAACUGUCUUCGGACAAUCUUCUGGCGACUUGACCUCAAAUCGAGUAGGACUACCCGCUGAACUUAAGCAUAUCAAUAAGCGGAGGA
RNAcentral lists this unclassified non-coding RNA (385 nucleotides) under soil metagenome. RNAcentral describes it as "partial contains 5.8S ribosomal RNA, internal transcribed spacer 2, and large subunit ribosomal RNA". The stretch from base 1 to 120 matches the Rfam family "5.8S ribosomal RNA", at positions 35 to 154 of the family's 154-position model. The record is from RNAcentral.